AAGAUUUUUGGCUGCUUUUAAAAAAAAAUAAAAAUUAUUGCUUAGAAGUGCUUUUAAGAUGCCACAAGGCUUUCCAUGAUUGGAUACACACCACGCUACAGUAAAGCAGGCUAGGCUGUAUUGUAUCAUUUCCCACAAGCACAAAUUUUUCUUGUUUGACUAAAUAAAUUCAUUCAGAUAGCUAGCCACUAUUAGAUAUUAAGCAGGGAUGAACACUAACUGCCUGAAAACUUCAAAUGAAGGAUACCGACAGAGUACCCUUCAACUCCCUGAUUCCUCCAUCCAUCUUCACAAUAUCCAUGGAUAACCUUCUCUAGAAGCGACCCAAUCACUGGUGUUGAUGGAAUCAGUCUCUGUUUUGGAGGGAGGAGAAUGCAGCCGGAUAAGUUUUUCAAUCCCAAACAUAGAAGUGGCAGGAUUUCCCCUGGAACUAUCAUCAAAGUUAAACUUCCACAUACAACUGGGAGGAGGAUUCUGUGCCAAGCAAGUAGUGUAGGGUGUCUAAUGCCCUCGAUAAUCUCCAAUGAACAUGACACUCCCUCAAAUUCCUUGCACACCAAUGCCCAACUGCCAAAGAGAUUAUCCUAUAUCGAACCCUUUCUGCCACCUGGGCAAUGCUUUUUGAUUUGUAUAUGGGUGAUUGAAUGGUCAAUUAUUCCUCUCUUUCCACUACAUCCCUGGAAGAGAGAAAUGCCAGAGAAUUGUCACUUUGCAUUUUAAAUCCGAAUUCCAUGCUUCAAGGGUCUUUUUUCA
Long non-coding RNA from Magnolia sinica, 753 nucleotides. RefSeq lists it as uncharacterized. The transcript is spliced from 2 exons. The record is from RefSeq and is a predicted model, not a curated record. NCBI's taxonomy places the organism in Eukaryota, Viridiplantae, Streptophyta, Magnoliopsida, Magnoliales, Magnoliaceae.